AUCCGGACAAAGGAGCCCAAUUCUUUUACAAAGUUGUCCCCAAAGAGAAAACCUUUUGCCUGUGUUAUCUGGCUCGUUUAGAGCCAUAGUGACACGUUUGGGCUUAAUCAUGAGCAAGAUCAAUUUGCAGCGUUCUUUGACAACCGCAUUUUUGGCGUUGCCAACUUAAAUCACUCUCUGGAUCUAACCACUUAAGAUGGCGCAUUCUAAUUCUAGAUCAUCCUCUACUGCUUCAAAGAUCUCGGCUGCUGGGCCCAAGA
Non-coding RNA from Pelobates cultripes (western spadefoot toad), 260 nucleotides. NCBI's taxonomy places the organism in Eukaryota, Metazoa, Chordata, Amphibia, Anura, Pelobatidae. The record is from the annotation of a GenBank genome assembly.